GACGAACGCUGGCGGCGUGCUUAACACAUGCAAGUCGAGCGGUAAGGCCCUCGGGUACGACGAGCGGCGAACGGGUGAGUAACACGUGGGUGGACCUGCCUCUAGCUCUGGGAGUAAGCCUGGGAAACGUGGGUCGUAAUACCGGAUAUGACUCCACGGCGCAUGUUGUGGGGUGGAAAGCCUUGUGUGGCUAGAGAUGGGCCCGCGGCC
RNAcentral lists this ribosomal RNA (210 nucleotides) under uncultured bacterium. Its description in RNAcentral is "partial 16S ribosomal RNA". It matches the Rfam family "Bacterial small subunit ribosomal RNA", at positions 28 to 238 of the family's 1533-position model. The record is from RNAcentral.